RNAcentral lists this ribosomal RNA (406 nucleotides) under uncultured bacterium. Its description in RNAcentral is "partial 16S ribosomal RNA". It matches the Rfam family "Bacterial small subunit ribosomal RNA", at positions 30 to 526 of the family's 1533-position model. The record is from RNAcentral.
AUUGAACGCUGGCGGCAGGCUUACCACAUGCCAGUCGAGCGAGCGGCGGACGGGUGAGUAAUGUCUGGGACACUGCCUGAUGUAGGGGGAUCACUACUGGCAACGGUAGCUAAUACCGCAUACCAUCAGAUGUGCCCAGAUGGGAUUAGCUCGUAGGUGGGGUACUGGCUCACCGAGGCGACGAUCCCUAGCUGGUCUGAUAGGAUGACCAGCCACACUGGAACGGAGACACGGUCCAGACGCCGACGGGAGGCAGCAGUGGGGAAUAGUGAACAAUGGGCGAAAGCCUGAUGCAGCCAUGCCGCGUGUAUGAAGAAGGCCUUCGGGUUGUAAAGUACUUUCAGCGGGGAGGCGUUACCCGCAGAAGAAGCACCGGCUAACUCCGUGCCAGCCGCCGCGGUAAUAC